RNAcentral lists this ribosomal RNA (533 nucleotides) under Diversispora sp. RNAcentral describes it as "SSU rRNA". It matches the Rfam family "Eukaryotic small subunit ribosomal RNA", at positions 548 to 1081 of the family's 1831-position model. The record is from RNAcentral. Lineage: Eukaryota; Fungi; Glomeromycota; Glomeromycetes; Diversisporales; Diversisporaceae.
UUGGAGGGCAAGUCUGGUGCCAGCAGCCGCGGUAAUUCCAGCUCCAAUAGCGUAUAUUAAAGUUGUUGCAGUUAAAAAGCUCGUAGUUGAACUUCGGGAUUUACCCAUUGGUCAGGCUUAAUUGUCUGUACUGGUGAGAUGAAUCUCUACCUUCUGAGGAACUCUCAUGCCAUUUAUUUGGUGUGAUUGGAAAUCAGGACUAUUACUUUGAAAAAAUUAGAGUGUUUAAAGCAGGCUAACGUCUGAAUAUAUUAGCAUGGAAUAAUAAAAUAGGACGGCUUGGUUCUAUUUCGUUGGUUUCUAGGAUCACCGUAAUGAUUAAUAGGGAUAGUUGGGGGCAUUAGUAUUCAAUUGUCAGAGGUGAAAUUCUUGGAUUUAUUGAAGACUAACUACUGCGAAAGCAUUUGCCAAGGAUGUUUUCAUUAAUCAAGAACGAAAGUUAGGGGAUCGAAGACGAUCAGAUACCGUCGUAGUCUUAACCAUAAACUAUGCCGACUAGGGAUCGGACGAAGUUAAUUUAUAAUGACGCGUUC